Molecule: ribosomal RNA, 253 nt
Filed under: uncultured bacterium
Lineage: Bacteria
Description: partial 16S ribosomal RNA
Rfam family: Bacterial small subunit ribosomal RNA
Source: RNAcentral
UACAGAGGGGGCAAGCGUUGUUCGGAAUUACUGGGCGUAAAGGGCGCGUAGGCGGCCUGUUAAGUCGAACGUGAAAUCCCCGGGCUCAACCCGGGAACUGCGUCCGAUACUGGCAGGCUUGAAUCCGGGAGAGGGAUGUGGAAUUCCAGGUGUAGCGGUGAAAUGCGUAGAUAUCUGGAGGAACACCGGUGGCGAAGGCGGCAUUCUGGACCGAAACUGACGCUGAGGCGCGAAAGCCAGGGGAGCAAACGGG